Molecule: small RNA, 126 nt
Filed under: Marmota monax (woodchuck)
Lineage: Eukaryota; Metazoa; Chordata; Mammalia; Rodentia; Sciuridae
Source: RNAcentral
GUUGGGUGUGGUGGCAUAUACCUAUAAUCCCAGCAGCUUGGGAGGCUGAGGCAGGAGGAUCACUAGUUCAAAGCCAGCCUCAGCAAUUUAGUGAGCCCUAAGCAAUUUAGUGAGACCCUGUCUCAA